UGCAAAAGAAGACCAAAUUUCGCUAACUCCUUGGUCUUGGAAUACGGAUACAUAUUAACAGAAUGUAAAGAAGAAUGGACAACUGCAUGAAAAAUAGAACUCUUCAGCCAGUAACAGAAAUCUACUUCACUGAUCACUAGAGGGAAGGAAGUGAGGUUUGCACAUGAAGAUUUCUAGAUUACAAAAACUUGCAAGAAUCUUGAGUAAGAGGAAUAAGGAAUUUCCCUCCAGUUACCAAAACCAGGGAUAGUUCCAGAAAUCUGAAGUGUUCUAGAAUACUGAAGUUCCAACAUUGUCUUCUCAUGAAAAAGCCUGAAGAGCGAGCUGCAAGGUGGAAGAGAACUCGUGGGCUGAUUUACAAACACAUUACCAGAGAAGCUUGAGCAAUCAGGUACAAAGAAACACAAUACCUCGGCCAUACUGGUCUGCUCAGAUGACAUGCACAGCUAAAGGGAAGCUGAAAUAACAUUUGCUUUGGAUCUCAACUUUGCCUUCAUGACAUUGGUAGGAGUGAACUAUAUGCUGAUACCUGAAGUACCAGGAAGCAAACUGAUGAAGCCCUGAAACAGAGUAGAGCUAGCCAAUGACACAGAGCUGUGAAGUUUCUGUUUUGAGAAUACAGCUGCCCUAACUCAUUGAACAUUCUGCGUAGGUGCAGCAUAAGAUCUUGCUUUUGCCUUAGACCUAGUCACAUCUCAUUAACCCUGCUCCUACUAACCUUGCUCCCUAACCUCUUGGCUGCACCUCUCUUCUUCCUGAGAACUGGGGUAAGGUUGAGAGGGCCGGGGGGAGGUGUUGGGGUGGUUUGAG
Molecule: long non-coding RNA, 810 nt
Organism: Pogoniulus pusillus (Red-fronted tinkerbird)
Lineage: Eukaryota; Metazoa; Chordata; Aves; Piciformes; Lybiidae
Exons: 3
Source: RefSeq, a predicted model, not a curated record